CCUACGGGAGGCAGCAGUAGGGAAUCUUCCACAAUGGGCGAAAGCCUGAUGGAGCAACGCCGCGUGGGUGAAGAAGGUCUUCGGAUCGUAAAACCCUGUUGUUAGAGAAGAAAGUGCGUGAGAGUAACUGUUCACGUUUCGACGGUAUCUAACCAGACAGCCACGGCUAACUACGUGCCAGCAGCCGCGGUAAUACGUAGGUGGCAAGCGUUAUCCGGAUUUAUUGGGCGUAAAGGGAACGCAGGCGGUCUUUUAAGUCUGAUGUGAAAGCCUUCGGCUUAACCGGAGUAGUGCAUUGGAAACUGGGAGACUGGAGUGCAGAAGAGGAGAGUGGAACUCCAGGUGUAGCGGUGAAAUGCGUAGAUAUAUGGAAGAACACCAGUGGCGAAAGCGGCUCUCUGGUCUGUAACUGACGCUGAGGUUCGAAAGCGUGGGUAGCAAACAGGAUUAGAUACCCGGGUAGUC
RNAcentral lists this ribosomal RNA (465 nucleotides) under uncultured bacterium. RNAcentral describes it as "partial 16S ribosomal RNA". It matches the Rfam family "Bacterial small subunit ribosomal RNA", at positions 338 to 795 of the family's 1533-position model. The record is from RNAcentral.